Molecule: long non-coding RNA, 377 nt
Organism: Solanum stenotomum
Lineage: Eukaryota; Viridiplantae; Streptophyta; Magnoliopsida; Solanales; Solanaceae
Exons: 3
Source: RefSeq, a predicted model, not a curated record
CUUUGAAAUCUCAGGAACUCAAUUUGGAUGAACGUUAAUGAGGCAAUUGCUUUUCAUGAUUAGGAAUAUUGUAAAAGAUUUUGUAAUACCAAUGCACAAUGCAAGAUGGAUGUUGGUAAUUACCAACAGUAUAAAUGGGAGCCAAUUUUUCAUUAGUUAUGCCAAGCAAUCCUAUCUCAUUAUACAACUGAACAAUCAAGCAAAUCGGUUAAAGUGAUGUAUGAAAAUAUUAUGCAAGAGCGAAUUGCAUAUUUUAGAAAGGAACAAGAGCAAUUGAAAAAAUAUAUAUACAAAGGAGUUUCACGAGAUCAAACAAACAAAGAAAGACAUGACAUUUUUCAUGUAUUGGUUUUUAUGUAAUAGGGAGCUGAAAUAAA